CCUACGGGUGGCAGCAGUGAGGAAUAUUGGUCAAUGGGCGUAAGCCUGAACCAGCCAAGUCGCGUGAGGGAUGAAGGUUCUAUGGAUCGUAAACCUCUUUUAUACGGGAAUAAAGUGUGGGACGUGUCCUGUUUUGUAUGUACCUUAUGAAUAAGGAUCGGCUAACUCCGUGCCAGCAGCCGCGGUAAUACGGAGGAUGCGAGCGUUAUUCGGAUUUAUUGGGUUUAAAGGGUGCGUAGGCGGCCUUUUAAGUUAGCGGUGAAAGUCGUGGGGCUAACCAUGGACUGGCCGUUGAAACUGGGAGGCUUGAGUAUGUUUGAGGCAGGCGGAAUGCGUGGUGUAGCGGUGAAAUGCUUAGAUAUCACGCAGAACCCCGAUUGCGAAGGCAGCCUGCCAAGCCAUGACUGACGCUGAUGCACGAAAGCGUGGGGAUCAAACAGGAUUAGAUACCCCUGUAGUC
Molecule: ribosomal RNA, 460 nt
Filed under: uncultured bacterium
Lineage: Bacteria
Description: partial 16S ribosomal RNA
Rfam family: Bacterial small subunit ribosomal RNA
Source: RNAcentral